AUUGAACGCUGGCGGAAUGCUUUACACAUGCAAGUCGAACGGCAGCACGGACUUCGGUCUGGUGGCGAGUGGCGAACGGGUGAGUAAUGUAUCGGAACGUGCCCAGUCGUGGGGAUAACGUAGUGAAAAUUACGCUAAUACCGCAUACGAUCUAUGGAUGAAAGCGGGGGAUCGCAAGACCUCGCGCGAUUGGAGCGGCCGAUAUCAGAUUAGGUAGUUGGUGGGGUAAAGGCCCGCCAAGCCAACGAUCUGUAGCUGGUCUGAGUGGACGACCAGCCACACUGGAACUGAGACACGGUCCAGACUCCUACGGGAGGCAGCAGUGGGGAAUUUUGGACAAUGGGCGAAAGCCUGAUCCAGCCAUUCCGCGUGCAGGAUGAAGGCCCUCGGGUUGUAAACUGCUUUUGUACAGAACGAAAAGGUUUCUACUAAUACUAGGAGCUCAUGACGGUACUGUAAGAAUAAGCACCGGCUAACUACGUGCCAGCAGCCGCUGUAA
This 499-nucleotide ribosomal RNA is filed under the name uncultured bacterium. RNAcentral's name for it is "partial 16S ribosomal RNA". It matches the Rfam family "Bacterial small subunit ribosomal RNA", at positions 30 to 523 of the family's 1533-position model. The record is from RNAcentral.